RNAcentral lists this ribosomal RNA (235 nucleotides) under uncultured bacterium. RNAcentral's name for it is "partial 16S ribosomal RNA". It matches the Rfam family "Bacterial small subunit ribosomal RNA", at positions 118 to 351 of the family's 1533-position model. The record is from RNAcentral.
UGAGCAAUCUGCCCUUCUCUUCGGAAUAAGCGUUGGAAACGACGUCUAAUGCCGAAUACGACCUCCUUUCGCAUGAUCGGAGGUGGAAAGCUCCGGCGGAGAAGGAUGAGCUCGCGGCCUAUCAGCUAGUUGGUGUGGGUAAUGGCCCACAAGGCGACGACGGGUAGCCGGCCUGAGAGGGUGACCGGCCACACUGGGACUGAGACACGGCCCAGACCUCCGUACGGGGAGGCAG